RNAcentral lists this ribosomal RNA (253 nucleotides) under uncultured bacterium. RNAcentral describes it as "partial 16S ribosomal RNA". It matches the Rfam family "Bacterial small subunit ribosomal RNA", at positions 524 to 776 of the family's 1533-position model. The record is from RNAcentral.
UACGGAGGGGGCUAGCGUUGUUCGGAAUUACUGGGCGUAAAGCGCGCGUAGGCGGCCUUGUAAGUUAGAGGUGAAAGCCCGGAGCUUAACUCCGGAACUGCCUUUAAGACUGCAUCGCUAGAAUCGUGGAGAGGUGAGUGGAAUUCCGAGUGUAGAGGUGAAAUUCGUAGAUAUUCGGAAGAACACCAGUGGCGAAGGCGACUCACUGGACACGUAUUGACGCUGAGGUGCGAAAGCGUGGGGAGCAAACAGG